This is a long non-coding RNA of Pipra filicauda (Wire-tailed manakin), 12123 nucleotides long. RefSeq lists it as uncharacterized. The transcript is spliced from 3 exons. The record is from RefSeq and is a predicted model, not a curated record. Lineage: Eukaryota; Metazoa; Chordata; Aves; Passeriformes; Pipridae.
ACUCUGCUUGGACACUGUUUUUUCCCUUUCAAGUUGUUGCUAUGAAACACCAAAACAACUACCUCCAUUUUUCAACGGCGAGGGAAAAGUGCUCUCAUACAGCUUGAUAAACCAUGCUGAGUUCCUUUCAUGAAGAAAGCAAUUCAAUGAUGCCAGAGGCCAAGAGGAUCAUUCCUGCCUCCUGCUGACGUUAGCUCCUCAAGACUCAUUGACAAGAUGUCUCCCUCCAGGACAUUUAGGCUGCUGAUGCUGAAGGCAAACAUAAUUUCUCCCCCAUUAUUUCUAGCUUGAUCAGCCUAGGAUUAGAAAAAAAAAAAUCCAAACCAAAAACCAAACCCUAAAAAUGAUAAUAUAAAAAUAACAACAAAAAUUUGGCACAGUUCCCGGUCUUUGUUGCUCAGCCCCUGAUGUCUGGAUGGCUCUGCAGGACCUGGAGGGGUAUGAGUCCCUGUGUAUGAGGAGUACUCAGGGUUUGCCUGGGGCAGGGUAGAGAUAAGCGACAACAAGAAAUCAGUUUUGGAGAAACUUUUUCACCCUAAAUUGCAUAAUUAUGGCAUCUUAAAAUGACAACAAAUGCCUGUCUGUGUAGCUCCGGCCUUUGAUUUUUCCAUUGUUCUGCUGUUUUAAGAGGCCAGAAGAUUAAAGGGGACCCCUGUAUGUCCCACAGUGCCACCACAGAGUGGCCUUGGAUGACUUGGCCCCUGGAAGUUGCCACUCAUGGCUGAGAUCCCCAACUUAUAAAGUCAGAAGUGGUUUCCAAUAAAAGGAAAAAGCCUUCAUCUUGGCCAGGUGAAGGCUGAAUGCAAACAGCGAUGUCUCAGGAUGGUAAACUGAUCCCAGUGUUGCCCUGCAGCCUCUCUGGCUGCUCCUGCCCUGGAUCUAUGGGUGGUCCUGUAUUCACAGGACCACAGCAUGCCCUGAAUUCCUGUCUCAUUGCAUCCUGCUGCCCAUGGCAGGGCUCCUCCCCAACAGAGACAGCUAAUGUUUCUUUAUGCCCCUUGUUUUACAUUCCUAAAUUAAUUGCUAUCUUCCAAGUAACACUAAUGGGUGUUAUCCUGUCUUCCUCCUCUUUCCCCCAUCAUGGUGCUGCAAAACUUCAGCUGUACAUGUUUUUUGGUGACAGGUGUGGAUGGUUAGCUGCUAUUUUGUUCAAAUGCAUUUGCCACGGAAUUGCCUCUUUGUCCAUCUUCUCCUCCUGUUUUAGGGCUGUAAAUACUAAUGGUUUCAAGUAGACCUGGGAUAUGGGAGAGCAACCAUUGCUUGCAGUGCAUUACCAGACACCAAAGAUGCCAAAACACUGAGCAAUGUAAGUGGCCUUCACACCACUUUUGUGCUUGUGAGCUGCCGAAAAUACAUCCUGGCAACUCGGGGCAGAGCCGGGCCCUAUCCCAUCCCAGCCUGCGAGGGGAUAAUUCAGGAACCAGCAGCCCGAGGGCACCAUCUAGUGAACAGCCCGGACGGCACAAACCUGAAAUGGGCAGAAAUGGAGUGAAAAUCGGGAUGGGGGGGUUUCCAGUCAGGACUGAGGAGUCACGUUUUGUGCCUUCCCUCUACUCCAGUUAAUUUCUAAUUUUCUCCAUCAGGUCCCCCCAUAGAAGAGCCUUUGCCCGACUCCACCCAUUGUGGCAGGGACAUUGGCCUGGAGCAUACCACACUUGCUGCUCUGCCUUAUGUUUUCUUGUUUGUGAAAAAAGUGAAUAAUAAAGGGUUAUUUCUAAUUCUUUGUGAGGGGCCCCAGGUGUGCAGGAGCGGAGUGAUGGAGGCAGCUCUGUCGUGGGGCAGGUCUGAGCUGGAAGCACAGGCUGUGCUUUCAGCUGAGAUGAAGCCUCCUUUUGAAUGGAAAAUUAAAAGGAACACCACAGAUGCUCUAACAUCUCCCCAUCACCCCCAAGGUGAGCUGAUAGGGGGAAAGCAGGCUGAAAGACCACAGGUUUGGUGCAGAGCUUAAAGCUCCCUGAGCUGAUGCAGCAACUGGGGAUGAAGGAAACACCACACCAAACUACUGCUGCUUCCAGUGCUGGUGUGCUGGGCUGGGUCCUCUCCCCAUGUUGCCAUACUGGGAAUUGAACACCUUGCCAGGAGAAGGCUGUCCUGAAGCACUCCUGAUCUAAAAGAUGCCACCUUCAGGAGUUCAUGGCCCCCAUGACCUAUUGACACCCAGCCCCCAGCCCCCCCCCCGGUUUAUCCCUGGGAGCUUCUUUGUGUUUUGCCUACAGCAAACCCUACCCACGCACCCAAAGCAUCCAUGGAGCAGGGACUGAGAGGUACAGGGGUACUUGGGUCAGGCUGCCCCACCUGUCCAGCUCACCCUUUGCAGCCCCCUUUGUGGCCAGCUCCCUAAGGAGGAUGGAGCUGCCGGGAAUUGUGCCUUUUCCUCUCAUAUGCACACAGUCACGAUGGUUAGUUAAGUGGCUUGUUUUUCAUUAGGAAAAGACUGUUGCUAGGCCACCCCGUUCCCCGGCGUUGGUCGGGAAGGAGUUUUGCAGCCAAUCCGGGAGGCUGUGCUGGGGUUUGCACACGCACACAUCACGCACACCCCUCCUGCAGCCCAGGUGCUAAGCGGCUGCCAGAUGUGCCUAUUCAUUUCCACAUCACACCUAUCUGCUUCUUCCGGCCAAGCAGCUUAUUAAAACUCCUAGGAUUUUAAUUUAUAGUUGUCUGAGAGUUUUCUCCCUUCUAAUUUACGCUCAGAGGGUAGAGAGGGGUGAUGGUGGGUGGGGGUAGUGAUGGGGCGAGGAUACAAGGGGGCCGGGUCCUCCCUCUGCUCUGGUCUCUAGUGAAUGCCCGAGUGAAGCCUCGUGUUUCUGACUGCAAAAAGGGUGAAUUGUCCCUCUGUGUCCCCACAGUGGGGGGACAGAUAGUCUCAGGCUGGGGGCUUGCUCCAGGCUGUUAUUAGGUACUGCUCCACCCCAAGACACUCAUGUUGUGAUUUUUAGGGAUAUCCUGUGUAACCAGGUGUUAGUGGGUUCCCUCCAACUCGGGAUAUUCUAUGGUGCUGUGAUUUGGAGUUUACGUGACAUUUCAACCACAUGUACCAUGAUAAGCAGAGCCAGCAGCAAAGCUUACCAGGUGUUUGAUCAGGGGAUGCUGCUCCCAGCUGCGGUCCCCAUACAAACAGCCCCCAGCAGAUGGGAGAGGUGCUGGACCAUGGUCAGGCAUUGGUGAUGCCUGACCUCUGAUCAGACAGAUCCCCAGUACAGCUGCUGUUCUGCUAUGGUGCUAUUCCAAGUACCCUAUGGGUGUCCAACAUCCACCCGACAGAGCUGUGGUGCAUGGACAAGACAGGGUGUGAGCAGAGCCCAGGAUAUGAGCAGGAUGGAGCCUCUUACAGCUGCAAAGCUUUCACCACGCAGGACAGGAAUAGACACCAAAACAUGCAGAAAAAUGUGGGCAAUCCACAUGAAACUCAGUUUCUGACUGUCCCCCAUGAAAACCCCCAUGUAGUAGGAGGGAAGCUCAAUGAAAGCAACAGAAAGAAUUGGAUUGUGUCUGCUGCUCAAGGAGAAGCUGUUGCUAGACAGAAGCAAAAGCCGUCGCCAUCAGCUCCCAUUGGCUCAGUCCCACUCCAAUGACGGGCUUAUCGGUUACCUGCACUCGCAGCUGGCUGGAAAAAAACUCAUUUGACAAUGUUUUCCCUCUGAUAAAAAAGCCCCGUGCUGGAUUCGUGGGUUUGGGUUAAUCAUUGUUCAGAGUUGUUGAGAUAAUGGCUGAGUUUUCUGCAGAUUCUUCAAUUACCGCAAAAUUAAGCAUAAAUUGUGAGACAGCCCAGCUCUCCUUCAUCCGCCUAAAGAUGCUCAGCCUCCCGACAUGAGCACCAGUGGGCCGCUUGUGGGAUGAGCCAGAGUGUGUGAUGAGCCCAAGCGUGUUCAGCCAUGGCAACUCCGAGUUGGCAUGUUGGUGAAUAUUCACAAACACCUGUGAAAAUCCUGAUUAGCUCUCAGAGGGUGAAAAUGGGCCCAAUGUCACCAUUUAGAUUAUUCAGAGCAAACAUCGUUGUCAGGGAGCAGAUUGCCACCACCCCUAAUCAUCCAUGUGGGGUUUGCUCAGCAGCAGUUUUUGGGGGGGCUGGGGGGCUGCAGCACAGUGUUGGGGUUUUCCAAGCCCCUCACACCUGAUGCAAAUAGGGAUUAACACCCAAAUUUGUUUCUCACCCUCCCUGAGUACCGGAGAUUGUGGCAAAGCUUGCAGGGUGUGUCAGCACCAAAGAGCAGCUGGCCUUUGCCUGCUUUGCUGCCCCCAAAUUUGCUCCCAAAGCAGGGAGGGAAUUCCAGUAGGAGAGUUAAAUAAAUGAGGCGUCAGUGGGGACAAGCUCUCAGUGCUUUGUGCUACUGUGCAACCCCAGGGCUGUGCUGUGCAGGGGGCUGGGGAGGCAACAAGUUCCUCCACUCAGGUGGAUAAACAAGUUUGGAGCUGUGGGGUGCCCCAUGAACUCGAGUGCCCCCCAAGGGGAUGCAGUUACAUGGGCCAGGUUAUAUGGCCAUAAGCAAAGCAUCCCUCUGCUGUGUCUUUCCUCUGGGUCUGCUUUUCCAGGAGCAGAAGACAGUGCUGCUGCAUUGCCUUUAGAAUGCCCCCAUCAUCUGAUCAAUACGUGCAGGCCCACUGAGCUUUCACCUUUCCUACACACUCACUUCCCUCCUGCCCCACUGGGAGAGGAGGAAACAGAAAAACCUGCCCCAGCUGUGCUCCUCCUGCACCCCUCUUUGUGCCCCGUGGGGUUCAGUCCCUGCCAUACCUUGCCAGGUCCUGCUGACAUUGCGUGGCAUUCUGCUGGGGCUCAGCUGAGCUGCACCCCAAGGCUGGCACAGGGGGUGGUGCUGGCCCUGUUUUACAGCUUGCUGCACCAGGAACACACCUGGGAGAAAAUGAAACAAGCAGAAUUCAAAGUCCUACUGUGAGGCUGUGUUUCCUACCAGGUCUAGUGGAGAGUGCCCAGACCAUGAGCUCACAGCAGAGCCCAGGUUACUCUAUCUGUUGAAGGAUGGUUGUGUUUGGGCCAUUGUGAGGACCAAGAUUUUUUUUUGAUGUGUCAGACACGUUUCAAAGCAUUUCUGAGCUGUUCCUGGCUUCCUCUACCAGGCAAGGAGGAGUUAAGAAGGGAAGUGCAAGAUGUGCCUGGUAAUGGCACUGAUGUGUGCGUCAGGUGUGCCUGCGUCACCCGGCUGCCUUGGCCACUUCCCAAGGCUGGGGCUGAGCUCUCCUUACCUCCCACAGCUUGCUGGGAAAAGCCUGGGAUUGUCUAGCCUGGCCGAGGGAGUUGUGAGCUCCAUUCCAGUGCUGGCUGCUGUAUCCCAGUGUGCUGCACCAGGUUCCCCAAAGUCCCCAGGGUGCUGGCAGCUCUCCAGCUCCCUCUGCCACCUCCUGUCUCGCAGCCCAGGCAGUGGGACUGGGCUAAAGGGUUGUUAAGGGCUGACCUUGAGGCACAUGGCAAAAAACUAUUAAUUUUCUAUAACCAUGGCUGUUCAGUUCCCUGGGGAAGCACACAAUUCCAUGUCCAGCCCCAAAACCCUCUCUGGUGCUCCCACACCCAGCUGGGACACAUCUCUGCAGCCACAUAUAUGUCACCUACAGGCAGAGUCACUGCAGGUGAGCAUCACCCUGUCCCCACACCAUCACAGCAGCCCAUGCCACAGCUCACCCAUGCCUGCACAGCUCUCACUCAUAGAUGCUGGGGGAAGGAACACUGACCUGUGAGGUGAGCAAAUUGCAACAGUGCCUCUCCUUAACACAGGGAGCUCCCUGAGCUGGGACAGCCCUGCUGCUGGACAGUGACGGAGCAGGAUGCCCUCUUGCACUGAGCUUUCUCCAAGCAGAUGAAGUGCUGGAUUGCAGGGCUCCAGCUGAGCCCAUUCCCUGCUCCUCCAAAGACGACAAGCCUGUACCCCAAGGAACUACUUACUCCAUCCACUGUCAGGCCAUUCGAAGCACCUUUUCCAGUUGCAGGUGGGUUUUAAGCCCUGGAGCAUGACAUGGUACUCAGGCCAAUCUCACCCCACCCUCUUGCACCUGUAGAACUGCCAGAUCAAAUCAUGCAGAAUGUACACAAGGGUUUAGCAAAAACAGUUUUUAAUUCAGAACUGGACAAUUAUGUCAAUAAUUUAUUUAAAAUUAAGUGCAUUCUAUGCUCUUGUCCACACUGGACAUUGAUCAGAUCCAGACUUUUUUCUCAGGCUUCAUUGUGCAGCUGGAUCCCUACAAAUCUAUGGGGUGUGGUGGGAUUCAUCCAAGAAUCCUUCAAGAGCUAACUGAUGUCAUCACAAAGCCUCUCCCAAUGAUUUUUGAGCAGUCUUGGGAAUCUGGAGAGGUCCAAGCUGACUGGAAGCCAGCGAAUGUUGUCUCAGUUUUCAAGAAGGGCAAGAAGGUGGACCCUGGAAGCUACAGGCCUGUCAGUCUCACUUCAGUGCCCAGUAAAAUCACAAAGAUUAUUCUGGGAGGUAUUGAAAAACACCUGGAGGACAACACAGUCAUCAAUCACAGCCAGCAUGGCUUCAUGAGAGGAAAGUCCUGCUCAUCAAACCUGAUUUCCUUCUACAACAGGGUAACCCACCUGAUUGAUCAAUGUAUGCCGGUAGAUGUUAUCUUUUUUGAAUUCAGCAAUGUUUUUGGGACAGUCUCUCACAGUUCCCAGAAGGGAGCAACAGCCACCAAAACAACCCACUGCACAGCUUCAGAGGCUUCCUAUCCUGUGGUUGUGUCUCUGCCUCAGAGCAGUUCAGCAUGGGCCACCAAAAACCCCAAUUUGUGUUUGGCAAAUAACAUACUGUUUUGGUUUUUUUUUUUAAUUUCUCUUUUUCCCCUCACCUCUGCCUGGGCAGCCUUGAAGGGAAUCGCUCUCUUCAUGUGGUGCUUGGUGAUGCCACUCCAGCGUGUCCGGAAGUCCACGAUGGGGAGCUCGGGCUGAAUGUACUUGUCAUAGAUGACAUCCCCCUCGUAGUUCACCACGGAGCACCGUGCCAGCUCACUCAGCCUGCCCUGAGGGCCGGUGCCCACCAUCUCACAGUCAAUGGCCACGUACUUGCCCGGGCGCAGGACCAGUGAGGACAUUCUCACCUUCUUGGAGCUGUCGUUCCCCUGGGACAGCAGCACAGAGUGGUGCCUGGCUAUACUGUCCGGAGAGGCAGAUGGGGACAGGGAUGCAGAGAUGACCCGUUUGGGCUUGGGGACCUUGCCAGAGCGCUGUGUCGUGGUGCCAUUUGCCUUGGUGAGGGUGGCGUGUGCCUCUGGCCCCGCCACGGGGGUCUGAGUGCUCCUGUGCUCGCGGGGGCUCAGCAGCCCCUUCUGCUCCAGCAGCGCCCGGCGCUCCAGGAACCGCUGGUGCUUACGGCUCUUCUUCUUGCUGCGGCUCUGCGGCGAGCUGGGACCCUUCGGGGCCUGAGGGCAGCCCACCGCCGAGGGGUCAUGGGUGCCCUGCAGGGUGGGCGCAGAGACCGUCGGGGCGGGCAGCAGCGGGGUCAUCUGCCCUUUGCCAGGUGGCAUUCCUGCUGGAGUGUGCACAGGGGGGCAUGAGUGCCGCGCAGCCCCCGUGCUCCCCAGUCAAAAACGACGCGCAUAGCCCGUAGGAACCCCCCCUCAUCCCGCAGGCACAGACAGGAGUUAUGGGACAGGGAGGGGGGGGGCGGUGGGGAGGAGGUGCACACGGACACACUGUCACACCCUGUCCCCACCCCUUUGCCGCUUAUUGCCCGGUCCCAAACCGCCUCUUUCCCGGUCCCAUGGUCUUGCCAACUCUCUCGCCGAUCCGCAGCCCCCCUGCCCACCCCACUACCCCCCCUGCCCACCCCAUUACGUGCUCCCCAGAGCCCUGUCCGCCCAUUACCCGGGCUCUCUCUGCCUCGCUCCGGGCCCCAGUGCCCUGCCCGCCCCAUCACCCAUUCCCAGGCCCGUACCUGCCCCCCUGCCCCUGCCCCUGCUCCCCCACCCCAAGGCCCCCUGUCCCCCACUCCUGACCGGUCCCGCCGCGCUCCCCACGUGUCCCGCCCGGAAGCCGCCGCUCACACAUGCCCGGGCAAGUCCCGCCGUGGUCACGCCCCCUGUCCCCCUAUUGGCUGAAUGGCGGGUGAUUUGCAUGCGGGGGCGGGGCCCGGCAGGGCUGAGCGGUGGGCGGGGCUUCUGGGGCCCCGGUUAUAGCGCGAGGGGGGAAUUGGGAGUGUCUGAGGACAUAUCUGGGGUUUAUAUCCCAGAACCAGACGCUCAGGGCUUCAGGACUCUCACCUGGUGGGGAGGGCACCUUCGAGGUGUUGGGUUUUGGGGGUGGGAUAAAAUUUUAUGCAUAUUUUGCGUGUUUGUGCAUAAUUGGUCAACAGAGUGUUGUCAGAAUCAAAGUUGCGACAUAAAGAUAUGUGCACGAGAAACGAAAGUACUCAAAAAGUAAAUUCAUUGCUUUGCCACGAAGUUGUUGUUUUAGGAGGUCAACUAUAGCGAUUCAGCUUGCCUCUUGUGUUUUGGAGGGCUGCUUUUUAUUUUGGGGCAUACGGCUCCGUGCCCGGGAGUGCAGCCUGGCACAGAAACUGUAGUUUUCCUGUGUGUUUCCUGCGGUGCAGUGCUGGCCCUGUGGGCAUCCCUCCUUCAGACGGUGGGGUGGGCUGAGGCGCAGCAGCUCCUGCAGGGUUUGCAUCCUCCAGGCUGUGCUCCCCAGGGUGGCGGGGGGGGGAAGCAGCUCUGGGCAGGGCAUGGUUGAAGGUGGGGUUUCAGACCCGCCUCUCGUUGCUUCACUCUCAAGGCUCACAAAAGCAACGUCCGAGGUGGUCAGAAGUGGAGAAAGGCCACAGGCAGCCCCAGUCACCAGCUUGUCCCCACGCCUUUGGUGUCGCUGCAUAGGCCGUGCGCCCUAAGGCAGACUGUGACUUGUUGUGGUGGGAUGAGCCAUACAACAACAAAAUCACUAGUCUUCCAGAGGGAACCAGGCACCACGUCCAUCCUUGUCCCACUGGGCUCCGCUCUGAGCAUUCCCUCUCCCUGCCACAAAUGGGGCUCACAGGGAUGCAGGACAAGUGUUUCCAUGCUCCGUCGUUCCCCUUUUUUACCACCCAUGAGCUUCUUCAGCCUGGUCAGAAAGAAAAGAUUUAGAGCACUCUGAUUUAUUUUUUCGUAUUUCUUUUAUGUUUUUCUUUUGGCCAGUAAACCUCUUCCUUAAAUCUGUUGCUCUGUGUUUUGCAUCUCUUACUUCCGUCCCUGCUGUUCAGCUAGUUAAUCCCCCUUUAAUAAGAGUCAUUCAAGUGUCCCAUAAUACCUUGCUAGGGAGCCCUGGCAGGUCUCUAUGUAGAAAUUUAUGCUAUUUCUGGUGGUUUUGGUGAAACUGUGCAUUAACAGCCCUCGGGGAUAGUUCAUUUGGUAUUCCUGGGCCUCUUUGCCCAGUUUUUCUCCCCAUAAGUGAGUGUGAGCUGAUCAUCAUCACAUGAGUGAUGAGCCCUGAUGUGGGGGAAAUGGGCUUGCAAUGCUGGUGGCAUUUCUCCACCGGCUCUGGGUAGACAAGGAGGUGGUGUCACUGGCUGCUCUUCUCCUUCACACUCUGUUGAGAUGAAAGGUUAAAGUGCCUCGACCAUUCCUGGUUGACAGCUUCUCCCCAGACACAUUGCUGCUCCACUCAUGGGUCUGAUAGCUCUUAGCUUGUUCACAAGAAAACCCAUCCAUCUCCCUUCCUUUCCCAGGCUGUAUAUGUUGCAAGAGGCAUGUGAUUCUCUUUGGCAGUGCAAAGUUUUUGCUGUACCCUCAUGACUACAAAGAAACCUCAACAGGAGAAAUUAUGGCAUGUCAGGAGGAAGGGAAAAUCUCUUCCUGCUUUCCCAAGGUGACCAGGCUUAGGAAACAAGAUAGUGCAGAAUACAAGGGAACAGUGCUGAACAGUGCUGUCAUUUUUCUCCCCUGCCCCAGAUACAAGGAUGGAGGUGAAAAAAAGUCAGAAUAUGUUUGUAUGGGUCCAUUGGUGUGCCGUGGUCUCCUGUGAUCCCACUGACCCCGGGUCAUCAGUAGAUGGUUCUCACACAGUAGAUAGUUCUCCCCUCAGCAGAAGCCUGAUGCUGAACGGGGAUGCCACUCACCUCCACGAGGUCCUGUGGCCAUGCUGGGGAUGGAGGGUUUGGCACUAGAUGGUAAAAAUCCUGUUCCAGGUGUGGCAGAUGAGCUGAGAUGAAGGCAGAGCGUGCCAGAGCCCCAGAGAGGUUUCUGCGGUGUUUGCACAAUUUGAAAUAAUAAUGAAAUCUGUAAAACUCUGGGUAGAGCACGACUAGAAUAACAGGCUAAAUUUGUCGGAUGAAUAAUUUACUAGAAGUGAUUGGCCCCGCUCCAAGUGAGACAAGCACCAGCCUGGUCUCAGGCUGAGAAGCCUGAGUGUCUCUGUCCUCAGCUGGGAGCUGGUCCCUCUCCUGCCCACCAGUCAUUGCUCCUGCCAUAAAAGCUGGUCUCUAGCCCAGGUGCCUGUUCCCAAGUCAUCACUGCCCAGGGUUACAGGGAUUCCUGCAGAGCUCCCAGACCCCUCCAGAAGGUGUCUGCUGUUUAUUUUCAAGGCGCUGCUUUGCAGCACGGAGGUGGUGGCAGUGGGUGUCUGUCACUGGCUCCAGGCUCAUGGACUCGCCCAUCCUCUGCCUCUUUCCUUUCUCCAACUGCUUCUCUGUUCUCGGCCAUGGUGCCGAGUGGAUGGAAGAACAGACACAUCCUGACAUUUGGGAUGGGAAGGGAGAUGAAGUCCCAGUGCUGAGAGGAGACGGCGACUGCAGCCUCGGCAGCCAAUUAAUGUGAUCAUGUUUAUGAAUGCGGAUCAGUAAUUCCAGGUAAACUCCCCAAGAGCAGUGCUGCAGGCGAACAAAGCCUCCUGCCCGCCCGGGAGCCUGCCAGCGGUCCCUGCCAGCACCAGCACGUUCCUGCUGUGACUCUAAACUGCCUCAUUUCCUAGUGCCAGCCUCGACAUGCAUCAUUUUGUCUCCUAUUACCUCGAUGCCAGAGCUCAUCUUAACAGUGUUGGUUGCACCACGUCCUCCUGGACCUCUCUGUUCCCUCCCUGCCAAGGGGGAAUGGCUGGUGGGAAUGGGCAGCUCAGGCAGAGAUUAACUCAGAGAAGGCAGCAAGGACCCAGCUUUGCCUCCACAGGUGAUGAGAGACUGCUUCAUCAUCCUGGGCUUUGCAGGCUGCAUGGUGCAUCCCUAUCACCCAUCUGUGGUUGGAGUACCCCGCCAGGGUGCCCCGAGCUGCUCCCAUCACUCUGAAUAGGCUUGUGGCAGGCUGGUUUGUGUCCACCAGCAUCCAAAGGAUCAAACAGAAGCUGAGAAGCUACAGAAAUAGAUUGGGGCACUGACCGAUCCCUUGCUGGACCUGGUUUCCUUUAGGGAAAGAAAGACUCAUCAUGAAGGGAGCACCUGGAAACACCACCACCACCCUUCGAUGCAAGGGACCAUCUCUGGCAGCCGGUGCCACCUGGCUGAAGUGUCACCAGCUGGUGGCCUGAGACCACCAGCACGAGGGUGUCAGAACGGACAGGCACAGUGUCACUUCCUGGCCUUUGGCAGGAUAGCUCCAUAGCAGAGGUUCAGCAGAGGGAUCUCUGUGGGACCCCUCCAUUGCCAUGCUGAGUUCCCCAUCCUCAGUUCCCCCCCUGUGAGACCAGUUGCGCAAAACCUCCAGGGGACUGCAUCCCUCUUGGAUAAGGGUGGGGAUGGAUGGUGUGCAAGAGCACCCGCUCAGCCUUGAAGACUACUCAGUGCUGGAAAGUCCUGCUUGGAAAGGACUCCUUUUCCUUUCCCUUGGAGCACCAAGAGCCACCCUAUUUCUCUGACACCUCCUCCAGCACUCCAUGGGACAGACCUCCUCCUCAGCCAUGUCCUGGAGGGUGCCAGUGGUCCAGGGAUGCUGCCAGGGAUAAGGAGGGAUGCUCCCUGAGCAGGAGGUGAGGGCAGAUGACGCUGCCAUACGUCUCCCACCUCGCUCCACGCUUUCUGGCUCACCCCCAGGAGAGCAGUGAGCAAUUACAGGCCACAUGGAAUCUUCAUUAUUGCCCUGUCGUGGCCUCGUUUGACGAGAUGUUUUACUGCCAAACUUAUUAAAAGUGAAACGUGCGGUUUCUGCACGGCAGUUUCCUGUCUGCAGUGAUAAGCCGGGCUCUGCCUGCUGUGUAAUAAACAGUUAUUUUUAUGUACA